GAUGAACGCUCGCGGGAGGCCUAACACAUGCAAGCCGAGCGGUAUGGAUAGCUUGCUAUCCAGAGAGCGGCGUCCGGGUGCGUAACACGUGUGCAACCUACCUUUAUCUGGGGGAUAUCCUUUCGAAUGGAAGAUUAAUACCCCAUAAUAUAAUGAUUGGCAUCAAUUUUUAUUGAAAACUCCGGUGGAUAGAGCUGGGCACGCGCAAGAUUAGAUAGUUGGUGAGGUAACGGCUCACCAAGUAAAUGAUCUUUAGGGGUCCUGAGAGGGAGAUCCCCCAGACUGGUACUGAGACACGGACCAGACUCCUACGGGAGGCAGCAGUGAGGAAUAGUAGACAAUGGGUGAGAGCCUGAUCCAGCCAUCCCGCGUGAAGGAUGAAGGUACUAUGGAUUGUAAACUUCUUUUGGACAGGGAUAAACCUACCCUCGUGAGAGUAGCUGAAGGUACUGUACGAAUAAGCACCGGCUAACUCCGUG
RNAcentral lists this ribosomal RNA (479 nucleotides) under uncultured bacterium. RNAcentral describes it as "partial 16S ribosomal RNA". It matches the Rfam family "Bacterial small subunit ribosomal RNA", at positions 28 to 507 of the family's 1533-position model. The record is from RNAcentral.